UACGUAGGGGGCGAGCGUUGUCCGGAUUUAUUGGGCGUAAAGAGCUCGUAGGCGGCUUGGCAAGUCGGGUGUGAAACCUCCAGGCUCAACCUGGAGACGCCACUCGAUACUGCUAUGGCUAGAGUCCGGUAGGGGACCACGGAAUUCCUGGUGUAGCGGUGAAAUGCGCAGAUAUCAUGAGGAACACCGGUGGCGAAGGCGGUGGUCUGGGCCGGCACUGACGCUGAGGAGCGAAAGCGUGGGUAGCAAACAGG
This 254-nucleotide ribosomal RNA is filed under the name uncultured bacterium. Its description in RNAcentral is "partial 16S ribosomal RNA". It matches the Rfam family "Bacterial small subunit ribosomal RNA", at positions 524 to 776 of the family's 1533-position model. The record is from RNAcentral.